CAGUCGAGGGGCAGCACGGUGUAGCAAUACAUUGGUGGCGACCGGCGCACGGGUGAGUAACGCGUAUGCAACCUACCUAUCAGAGGGGAAUAACCCGGCGAAAGUCGGACUAAUACCGCAUAAAACAGGGGUUCCACAUGGAAAUAUUUGUUAAAGAAUUAUCGCUGAUAGAUGGGCAUGCGUUCCAUUAGAUAGUUGGUGAGGUAACGGCUCACCAAGUCCACGAUGGAUAGGGGUUCUGAGAGGAAGGUCCCCCACACUGGUACUGAGACACGGACCAGACUCCUACGGGAGGCAGCAGUGAGGAAUAUUGGUCAACGGGCGAGAGCCUGAACCAGCCAAGUCGCGUGAAGGAUGAAGGAUCUAUGGUUUGUAAACUUCUUUUAUAUGGGAAUAAAGUGAGGAACGUGUUCCUUUUUGUAUGUACCAUAUGAAUAAGCAUCGGCUAACUCCGUGCCAGCAGCCGCGGUAAUACGGAGGAUGCGAGCGUUAUCCGGAUUUAUUGGGUUUAAAGGGUGCGUAGGUGGUUAAUUAAGUCAGCGGUGAAAGUUUGUGGCUCAACCAUAAAAUUGCCGUUGAAACUGGUUGACUUGAGUAUAUUUGAGGUAGGCGGAAUGCGUGGUGUAGCGGUGAAAUGCAUAGAUAUCACGCAGAACUCCGAUUGCGAAGGCAGCUUACUAAACUAUAACUGACACUGAAGCACGAAAGCGUGGGGAUCAAACAGGAUUAGAUACCCUGGUAGUCCACGCAGUAAACGAUGAUUACUAGCUGUUUGCGAUACACAGUAAGCGGCACAGCGAAAGCGUUAAG
RNAcentral lists this ribosomal RNA (810 nucleotides) under uncultured bacterium. RNAcentral describes it as "bacterial SSU rRNA". It matches the Rfam family "Bacterial small subunit ribosomal RNA", at positions 59 to 864 of the family's 1533-position model. The record is from RNAcentral.